RNAcentral lists this ribosomal RNA (491 nucleotides) under uncultured bacterium. RNAcentral describes it as "partial 16S ribosomal RNA". It matches the Rfam family "Bacterial small subunit ribosomal RNA", at positions 29 to 507 of the family's 1533-position model. The record is from RNAcentral.
AGUGAACGCUGGCGGUAGGCCUAACACAUGCAAGUCGAACGGCAGCACAGUAAGAGCUUGCUCUUACGGGUGGCGCGUGGCGGACGGGUGAGGAAUACAUCGGAAUCUACUUUUUCGUGGGGGAUAACGUAGGGAAACUUACGCUAAUACCGCAUACGACCUACGGGUGAAAGCAGGGGAUCUUCGGACCUUGCGCGAUUGAAUGAGCCGAUGUCGGAUUAGCUAGUUGGCGGGGUAAAGGCCCACCAAGGCGACGAUCCGUAGCUGGUCUGAGAGGAGGAUCAGCCACACUGGAGCUGAGACACGGGCCAGACUCCUACGGGAGGCAGCAGAGGGAAUAUUGGACAAUGGGCGCAAGCCUGAUCCAGCCAUACCGCGUGGGUGAAGAAGGCCUUCGGGUUGUAAAGCCCUUUUGUUGGGAAAGAAAAGCAGCAGGUUAAUACCCCGCUGUUCUGACGGUACCCAAAGAAUAAGCACCGGCUAACUUCGUG